UGACACUUCAUGUAUAUAUAAUAUUUAUUAGUAGUUGUAGGUUAGGACAUAUAUUUAUGUUGAUUUGAUAAGUAUAUUGUGUAGAAUUAUGUACAUUUUAUAAGUGUCCUUAUUUAAUAUAUCAAUAAAGUUAUUAUGAUUAUUAAAACAUAAAUAUGCAAAAUGUAUGAAUAUGGCAGCCAUAUUGGACACACGAAUGUCAUUCGGAAAGAAAUAAAAGCUUGAGGAGAAUGACGUACAUGAUUGGGAAAAUCCAGCCGUUAAAAACGACGUCUAAAAUAUACGUCAAACAACUGACUCACAUGUCACGUGCCUCCUUGCGUUUGACGUUUGAAUGAAUAAAAACUAUAAAAUCUAAGUGUCUCUAUUAUGGAUAUAUAGAUAUACUUUACUCCAGCUUGCGAAUUUAUUUAGGAAGUGCAUGGAUAUAAGAAAUAAUACUUGUACGUGGAUUGUGGAGUAUUCAAACCAUGCUUACUGUGUACAACUUGCGCAAAUUAUUAAUCCCAAAUCUCAUAACGGGGAAUGAUCUAACCCCAAGGCUCUGGCUCAACGUGCCAGCCUUGUGACAACUGAAAUGUUGGCAGGGUAGACCUGAUUGACAUAGUCUCAUAUGAAACACUCAAAUGGAGAAAUACAGUCCACAUCGCGGGUCAAUUUCAACAAAUUAUUUGAAUUUCUUUAAGCACAAGUAUUAUUCCUAUUUCGUUGAAGACAACAAGCUAUACUGGGCUAGCCAGAGUUAGCCCCAUUAGCUUCGGUCACGACGGAUGGGGCGGUUUCUUCGUUCGUAUCUACCAGUUCAACAGCUUUCUUUAUUGCUUCAAACAAACAAUUCCCAGCAACAUAAUCGUUAUCGACCAAGUUGACCAACAGGUAGCUGUCAUGAAUUGUGUCAAUAAUUUCACGUGAUUUGGAUCCCUCUGGAUAUACCCUUGCCCACUGUUGCUUCCAUAGAGCAAAUGCUUCAUCCU
Non-coding RNA from Paramuricea clavata, 974 nucleotides. The record is from the annotation of a GenBank genome assembly. NCBI's taxonomy places the organism in Eukaryota, Metazoa, Cnidaria, Anthozoa, Malacalcyonacea, Plexauridae.